CUUCGGGGGAAAGUUCACGCCGAGAGAGGGGCCCGCGUCGGAUUAGGUAGUUGGUGAGGUAAUGGCUCACCAAGCCUUCGAUCCGUAGCUGGUCUGAGAGGAUGAUCAGCCACACUGGGACUGAGACACGGCCCAGACCUCUACGGGAGGCAGCAGUGGGGAAUAUUGGACAAUGGGCSAAGCCUGAUCCAGCAAUGCCGCGUGAGUGAUGAAGGCCUUAGGGUUGUAAAGCUCUUCGCACGCGACGAUGAUGACGGUAGCGUGAGAAGAA
Molecule: ribosomal RNA, 271 nt
Filed under: Azospirillum sp. MS144f
Lineage: Bacteria; Pseudomonadati; Pseudomonadota; Alphaproteobacteria; Rhodospirillales; Azospirillaceae
Description: partial 16S ribosomal RNA
Rfam family: Bacterial small subunit ribosomal RNA
Source: RNAcentral